This 281-nucleotide long non-coding RNA is filed under the name Linum usitatissimum (flax). RNAcentral's name for it is "long non-coding RNA (LUSI_LNC000801)". Lineage: Eukaryota; Viridiplantae; Streptophyta; Magnoliopsida; Malpighiales; Linaceae. The record is from RNAcentral.
AUUCCCUUGGGAAGGUCCUAAAUUCUUAUGUCCCUUUGAAAUUGGCAUCACAUAAUGAUGCUGCCUCAUUAACCUGUGAAAAAGAAAGUCAACAUUUGAAGACGACUUCUACUGACGCCUCCACCAGAUUAGCCGCUGUCGACAAUUUUGGCUCCGAGGUCCCUAAGACUGGAAAUUCAGAGCAAGAUAUGUUGAAAGAAGGAGACUAUCUAGGCGAUAGCUAUGUUGAAACUGGGAUCAAUGGACAUUCUCCGAAAGUUGAUGAGUACUGCAACAACAAU